GAUGAAGAACGCAGCGAAAUGCGAUAAGUAGUGUGAAUUGCAGAAUUCAGUGAAUCAUCGAAUCUUUGAACGCACAUUGCGCCCCCUGGUAUUCCGGGGGGCAUGCCUGUCCGAGCGUCAUUGCUGCCCUCAAGCACGGCUUGUGUGUUGGGCCUCCGUCCUCCUCCCGGGGGACGGGCCCGAAAGGCAGCGGCGGCACCGCGUCCGGUCCUCGAGCGUAUGGGGCUUCGUCACCCGCUCUUGUAGGCCCGGCCGGCGCUUGCCGACACAUCAAUCUUUUUUCCAGGUUGACCUCGGAUCAGGUAGGGAUACCCGCUGAACUUAAGCAUAUCAAUAAGCGGAGGA
This 345-nucleotide unclassified non-coding RNA is filed under the name soil metagenome. Its description in RNAcentral is "partial contains 5.8S ribosomal RNA, internal transcribed spacer 2, and large subunit ribosomal RNA". The stretch from base 1 to 120 matches the Rfam family "5.8S ribosomal RNA", at positions 35 to 154 of the family's 154-position model. The record is from RNAcentral.